This 200-nucleotide ribosomal RNA is filed under the name uncultured bacterium. Its description in RNAcentral is "partial 16S ribosomal RNA". It matches the Rfam family "Bacterial small subunit ribosomal RNA", at positions 8 to 219 of the family's 1533-position model. The record is from RNAcentral.
AGAGUUUGAUCCUGGCUCAGAACGAACGCUGGCGGCGUGCUUAACACAUGCAAGUCGAGUGCGCGUGUCGUAGCAAUACGGCAUGGCGCACGGCGCACGGGUGCGUAACACGUGGGUACCUGCCCUUUGGUGGGGAAUAACUCCGCGAAAGCGGAGCUAAUUCCGCAUAAGAUCCGCAAGGAUGAAAGCCGCAAGGCGCC